Long non-coding RNA from Strigops habroptila (Kakapo), 862 nucleotides. RefSeq lists it as uncharacterized. NCBI's taxonomy places the organism in Eukaryota, Metazoa, Chordata, Aves, Psittaciformes, Psittacidae. The transcript is spliced from 3 exons. The record is from RefSeq and is a predicted model, not a curated record.
GGGUGGCUGUAUCCAAAGGUGAAAACUGAGGGCUGUGCUACAGUUUUUCACCACAAAGACUGCUUCUGUUUGGGGCAAGAGCACAGUGUGAACUGGCAAUAUACAGAUACUGCAAUAACAGCAAUGGUGAUUAAAAAUCGGGAGCUGCGUCAGCUUAAAAAAAGGCAAAGGGAAGCCAUCAGAAGAGCUGAACCUAUUUAUGUAUCUGCUUUUACAGUGUGAAGCAUGACUCCCUGUAUUAGAUAUGCCUGCAGACCUACUAGAGUGCUCCCUUUGAGAUACACCCCGGAGGAAGAAACUCAUGGUACAGACAAGUAAUGCCUUCUGUGAAAGCAAGGAAGUUGGUGAGCUGGGAGCUCUCAAAUACUGUGAGCCAGAUGUUUGUUUGGGAAGGGAAUUCGUUUUGUUUACCAGUGGAUAUAGCUGAGGUAUCCUUAAGACUGUCCAUCUGCUCAAACAGCAAAUUUGAGUAGAAGAAAGAAGGAAAAAGACAAAGAAGAAAAAAUGCUCUGAUCUACUUAAGACUUGAUGUUGAAAAGAAGACAUGUAAAAGGAAACAUGCUUAGUCUGCAGUUGAAAAAACAGAUGAGGUGCUACAAACUAAUACAGACUUUAGCAAAGGCAUUGCCUAAUGUGCAUUGUGUUGCGUAAAUGAUGCUUUCUUAGACUUCAGCCAUCCCCAUACAGAUACAGCAAAGCAUGCUGAGGCAUCCAUUUUAUUCAUCCAAGUGAAAAAUAAAGAAAAUUACUAGGACUGUUCAGGUGUUGACUCUUGGUUUGUGAAUUGCAAUUCAGAAUCUGGUGUUUUAAGCGUUAUUUAAAAAGUACUUUUCUACUGCACAAUAAAAUUUUAAUUAUUUUA